UACGUAGGGACCAAGCGUUGUUCGGAUUUACUGGGCGUAAAGGGCGCGUAGGCGGCCCCACAAGUCACUUGUGAAAUCUCCGGGCUUAACUCGGAACGGCCAAGUGAAACUGUGGAGCUAGAGUGUGGAAGGGGCAAUCGGAAUUCUUGGUGUAGCGGUGAAAUGUGUUGAUAUUGGAAGGAACACCGGAGGCGAAAGCGGUGCACUGGGGUUGGUCUGACGCUGAGGCACGAAAGCCAGGGGAGCGAACGGG
This 253-nucleotide ribosomal RNA is filed under the name uncultured bacterium. RNAcentral describes it as "partial 16S ribosomal RNA". It matches the Rfam family "Bacterial small subunit ribosomal RNA", at positions 524 to 776 of the family's 1533-position model. The record is from RNAcentral.